Molecule: long non-coding RNA, 517 nt
Organism: Electrophorus electricus (electric eel)
Lineage: Eukaryota; Metazoa; Chordata; Actinopteri; Gymnotiformes; Gymnotidae
Source: Ensembl
AUGUUUGUCAACAGUAUUGAUGCAUACCGUUCUCAGAGUAAGAACAGUCACCUGGCCUCUCAGCCAAGCUGCAGACCAUCAUCAAUCAGACUCUACAGGCGCUGAGCUGUUGCAGUGACGCAGGGAACCUUUGCCGUUCUCUUGAAGAGGCUGAAGCUGAGAAGCUCCUGCUCAUUUCCAGUGGUCAGAUCCCUAUUCCUUUCCCAGCAGGAAACAUGCUAUAUUGCCACUGCCUGCCACAGUUUGCUGUGCUGUUAACACAUUGCCUGUGUUGCAGGUGAUAAGCACACCGCCCUGCUGGCAGAGAUCAGCAGACUGCAGGAGGGAGCUGAAGCAGAUGCAGACCCCCACGCUGGUGUAUUGCAGCUGUGCAGAGGCACCAUCAGCGUCAGCAGUGUCCAGCUGCCCAUCAAAGUGGAGUUUGUGUGCUCUGCCCGCACAGAAAUCCAACCCCUCUUCUUCCUGUGCCCUUCCUGUCUCCCCUGGAGGGUCACAUCUACCUGCGGCUGCACAGUGA